CAAGUACUCCCUCCAUCCCAAAAUUCUUGUCUUAAAUUCGUCUAGAUACGGAUGUAUCUCAUACUAAAACGUGACUUGAUACAUCCGUAUUUAGACAAAUCUAAGACAAGAAUUUUGGGACGGAGGGAGUAUUAA
Triticum aestivum (bread wheat) is the source of this 135-nucleotide non-coding RNA. Lineage: Eukaryota; Viridiplantae; Streptophyta; Magnoliopsida; Poales; Poaceae. The record is from Rfam.